CUUUUCCUGUUUCUUUCUUUCCCAUGCUGUUCUAUUUUGCUUUUUAAUCCGCAGUGUCUCCUUCAAGUCAAAACAUUUAGCUGGCUCUAAUCAAGCCUCGGUUUGGAAGAUGCCCCCUGACCCAGGGCUGCCCAGGGAACCCCUGAGAUGCCUGCUCUGCACCCUCCAGCUGGGUCUGCUGGAAAAAAAAAAUUGAGGGAGUUGGCUGUUUGUGCAAAGGUGACUGGUUGACUAAGAAGACCAGCGGUUUUUUUUAUCUGCAGAACAAAUAAAGCCUGGUCAAAGGUAACUGAAGCGAGUGUCUCCCACCUUG
This 313-nucleotide long non-coding RNA is filed under the name Cavia porcellus (domestic guinea pig). Its description in RNAcentral is "lncRNA (ENSCPOG00000035110.1)". The record is from RNAcentral. Lineage: Eukaryota; Metazoa; Chordata; Mammalia; Rodentia; Caviidae.